GCUAGGUAUAGUGGUGCAUGUCUGUAAUCCCAGCAGCAUGGGAGGCUGAGGCAGGAGGAUCACGAGUUCAAAGCCAGCUUCAGCUACAGUGAGGUGCUAAGCAACACAGUGAGACCCCUGUCUCUU
This 126-nucleotide small RNA is filed under the name Marmota monax (woodchuck). The record is from RNAcentral. Lineage: Eukaryota; Metazoa; Chordata; Mammalia; Rodentia; Sciuridae.